This 504-nucleotide ribosomal RNA is filed under the name uncultured bacterium. RNAcentral's name for it is "partial 16S ribosomal RNA". It matches the Rfam family "Bacterial small subunit ribosomal RNA", at positions 28 to 523 of the family's 1533-position model. The record is from RNAcentral.
GAUAAACGCUAGCGGCAGGCUUAACACAUGCAAGUCGAGGGGCAGCAUAGAUUGUAGCAAUACAAUUGGUGGCGACCGGCGCACGGGUGCGUAACGCGUAUGCAACCUACCCGUCACAGGGGGAUAAUCCGGAGAAAUCUGGUCUAAUACCCCAUAACAUAUGGAUCGGCAUCGGUUCAUGUUGAAAUUUUCGGAGGUGACGGAUGGGCAUGCGUAGCAUUAGCUUGUUGGUGAGGUAACGGCUCACCAAGGCGACGAUGCUUAGGGGGACUGAGAGGUUUUCCCCCCACACUGGUACUGAGACACGGGCCAGACUCCUACGGGAGGCAGCAGUGAGGAAUAUUGGUCAAUGGGCGCAAGCCUGAACCAGCCUUGCCGCGUGCAGGAUGACGGCUCUAUGAGUUGUAAACUGCUUUUGUACGAGGGUAAAGUGGGUUACGUGUAACCUUUUGAAAGUAUCGUACGAAUAAGGAUCGGCUAACUCCGUGCCAGCCGCCGCAGUAA